GAAGCCUUCAGUCACCAGGCGGAUGUCAGAGGGAGAGGACGCACGCUCCCUGCUCCUGCCCCGCUAACUUGCCACCCCCGCCUUUAAGAGUGACUGGAUUCCUGAAUAAUUUUGUGAAUAGCCUCUAAAUUAAUACCUAGAGGAAUAUUCUACAAGACAUUAUUCACGAGACACAGAGAGAGGGAGCUGCAAAGAACCAAUAUCUAUUCUCAAGUUCCCCAGCGCGCCUACACCCCCUACACCCAACACACUCGUAGAGGCGUGGCUACAAUGAGCUCAAACGGUUCAACACGCCAGUUUUUCAGUGGCACCCCGCCUAGACGCCAAACUGGAGUAGUUCCCCCUGAAAUUCACUUAUACCCGUCACUUCAAAGGCCUAUGGAAUCCUCUAGAUAUGAGCCUAACUUCAUGCUAGGCUAUGGGAGCUAUGGGGCCUAUGGGAGCCUCCAGUACCCCAAAUAUCCCAGUGAUAUCCCCCAUAGGAACCGAGAUAUGGCAACAGAAAACGAGAUCUAUGGGAAAAGGUCGAAGGGGAAACUACUCAAUUCUGGUCUACUGCACCCUGGCACCCCGGAGCUUUCCAAGGGGCUUUCCUACGGGGACACGGACAAGGAAAAGGAGGCGGGGGUGUAUGGGGGUGUUCCUAAGGACUCCUACCCGUGGCACAUCCCAAGGGCGUCCCUCUGGUGUCUUCAUAAGGGAUACAACGGUGAUUUUUGCAAAGACUGUCAGUGGAAGCACCAAGAGAGAGGAAUAGACACAGGAUCAGACAUCGGAGCAGGAGGAGGAGGAGGAGGAGGAGGAGGAGGAGGGGACGGCGCCUCUACCUGCUCCUCCAUCAACCCUCCGCCCACGUUCACCGCCCUUGACAACUACCGGCCAGUACGCCCACGCCGCCCAAUGUGCCGCCAUUGUUCGUGUGGCAUCAUCUUUGCAAUUACAACUGUCUUCUCCCUAUUGGUUCUCGUUCUAAUAGCUGCUUUUAUCAUCUAUGUGGAAAUGGUUCUCAAGCAUCAACAACACAUGCCCAUGGAUAGAAUGUAACGAGGAGGAGGAGGAGGAGGAGGAGGAGGAGGAGGAGGAGGAGGAGGAGGAGGAGGAGGAGGAGGAGGAGGAGGAGGAGGAGGAGGAAGAGGUGGGAGGCUAACAGUGUGUGUGUGUGUGUGUGUGUGUGUGUGUGUGUGUGUGUGUGUGUGUGUGUGUGUGUGUGUGUGUGUGUGUGUGUGUGUGUGUGUGUGUGUGUGUGUGUGUGUGUGUGUGUAAAGAAGGAGUACUGGAAGAAGAACAAGAAGGAGGAGAAGAAGAAGAAGAAGAAGAAGAAGAAGAAGAAGAAGAAGAAGAAGAAGAAGAAGAAGAAGAAGAAGAAGAAGAAGAAGAAGAAGAAGAAGAAGAAGAAGAAGAAG
RNA transcript from Scylla paramamosain (green mud crab), 1403 nucleotides. RefSeq lists it as uncharacterized. The record is from RefSeq and is a predicted model, not a curated record. The transcript has 5 exons. NCBI's taxonomy places the organism in Eukaryota, Metazoa, Arthropoda, Malacostraca, Decapoda, Portunidae.